Molecule: ribosomal RNA, 497 nt
Filed under: uncultured bacterium
Lineage: Bacteria
Description: partial 16S ribosomal RNA
Rfam family: Bacterial small subunit ribosomal RNA
Source: RNAcentral
GAUGAACGCUGGCGGCGUGCCUAAUACAUGCAAGUCGAGCGAACGGACGAGAAGCUUGCUUCUCUAAUGUUAGCGGCGGACGGGUGAGUAACACGUGGAUAACCUACCUAUAAGACUGGGAUAACUUCGGGAAACCGUAGCUAAUACCGGAUAAUAUUUUGAACCGCAUGGUUCAAAAGUGAAAGACGGUCUUGCUGUCACUUAUAGAUGGAUCCGCGCUGCAUUAGCUAGUUGGUAAGGUAACGGCUUACCAAGGCAACGAUGCAUAGCCGACCUGAGAGGGUGAUCGGCCACACUGGAACUGAGACACGGUCCAGACUCCUACGGGAGGCAGCAGUAGGGAAUCUUCCGCAAUGGGCGGAAGCCUGACGGAGCACCGCCGCGUGAGUGAUGAAGGUCUUCGGAUCGUAAAACUCUGUUAUUAGGGAAGAACAUAUGUGUAAGUAACUGUGCACAUCUUGACGGUACCUAAUCAGAAAGCCACGGCUAACUACGUG